UACGUAGGGUCCGAGCGUUGUCCGGAAUUAUUGGGCGUAAAGGGCUCGUAGGCGGUUUGUCGCGUCGGGAGUGAAAACACCGGGCUUAACUCGGUGCUUGCUUUCGAUACGGGCAGACUAGAGGCAUUCAGGGGAGAACGGAAUUCCUGGUGUAGCGGUGAAAUGCGCAGAUAUCAGGAGGAACACCGGUGGCGAAGGCGGUUCUCUGGGAAUGUCCUGACGCUGAGGAGCGAAAGUGUGGGGAGCGAACAGGAUUAGAUACCCCGGUAGUCC
RNAcentral lists this ribosomal RNA (273 nucleotides) under uncultured bacterium. Its description in RNAcentral is "partial 16S ribosomal RNA". It matches the Rfam family "Bacterial small subunit ribosomal RNA", at positions 524 to 796 of the family's 1533-position model. The record is from RNAcentral.